Molecule: non-coding RNA, 438 nt
Organism: Camelina sativa (false flax)
Lineage: Eukaryota; Viridiplantae; Streptophyta; Magnoliopsida; Brassicales; Brassicaceae
Source: RefSeq, a predicted model, not a curated record
UGUUGUUUCAGCCUUUAGCGAGAUUGUUCUUGAUACAGUCGUUUUCGAUGACUUUGAGAGGUUCCCACCGACUGCAGCUACAGUUAGCUCUUCUCUUCUUCUGGGAAUCUGUGGUCUACCUGAUACAGUUUUCCGCGGCUCGAAACCACUGAAUCUCGACUCUCUUGCAUUUCCAAUAAGGCUAUGGUCAACGUAGGUGGCGAUCUUGUCAAACUCGUUCCAGGUCGAGUUUCAACUGAAGUGGAUGCACGUCUUGCUUAUGACACAAACGGCAUUAUCCGCAAGGUUCAUGAUCUGCUGAGGCUAUACAAUGAAAUCGAUGUACCACACGACCGGCUCCUAUUCAAAAUCCCUGCAACUUGGCAAGGUAUUGAAGCUGCAAGAUUGUUGGAAUCUGAGGGAAUCCAAACGCAUAUAACCUUCGUUUACAGGUACCAU